Pantherophis guttatus is the source of this 2186-nucleotide non-coding RNA. Lineage: Eukaryota; Metazoa; Chordata; Lepidosauria; Squamata; Colubridae. The record is from RefSeq and is a predicted model, not a curated record.
GGCGGGAGGAGCAGCAGCAGCAGCAGCGCCCCAGUCCCGGAGCCCCAACGCUGGAGGAAGCAAGGAGCCGCGCGCCCCGAUCCAGCCGGGGAAAUUGGGGGGGGUUUGCCUGCGUGGAAUUUGGGGAGGGGGGUAAAAGGCAGACGGACCAGGCACCGCCCGAGCGAGGCUCCAAACCCCGAAAUUCGGGGGGCCCCCCACACUUUUUUUCCCUCCCUAUUUUUGGCCCGAUCCAGCGCAGCUUCAGGAUCUCCCCCGGAUCUUUUUUUUUUUUUUUCUUUGUUUGCGCCGCGAAGGUUCCCGACGAGGCAGGAUUUGCUCCGUUGCAAGAAAACGUAUGUGAACCCCUUGGGAUUACGUGGAGUUUUGCAUGAAUCGGUCAUAAAAUGUGCUCCGAACUUCAUCUAAGUCACAACAAUAGAAAAACACAGUCUGCUUAAAAUAAUACUACACAAACAUUAGAUGUUGCCAUGGUUUAAUGGAACAUAACAUGUAAACAUUCACAGUGCAGGGAGGAAAAAGUAUGUGAACCUUUGGACUUAAUAACUGGGUGACCCUCCUUUGGCAGCAAUAACCUCAACCAAACGUUUCCUGUAGUUGCAGAUCAGACCUGCACAACGAUCUGGAGUAAUUUUGGACCACUCCUCUUCACAAAACUCUUUCAGCUUAGCAAUAUUCGUGGGAUGUCUGGUGUGAAUCGCAUUUCAAUCGGGUUGAGGUCAGGACUCCGACUGGGCCACUCCAGAAGGCGUAUUCUGUGCUGUUGAAGCCAUUUUUUUGUUGAAUUACUUGUAUGCUUUGGGUCAUUGUCCUGUUGCAUCGCCCAUCCUCUGCGGAGCUUCAGUUGGCGGACAGAUGGUCGUACGUUUUCCUGCAAAAUAUCUUGAUAAAACUGUGGAAGUCAUUUUCCCAUCAAUGACAACAAUCCGUCCAGGCCCUGAAGCAGCAAAGCAGCCCCAAACCAUGAUGCUCCCUCCGCCAUGUUUUACAGUGGGGAUGAGGUUUUGAUGUUGCUGUGCUGUGCCUUUUUUUCUCCACACAUAGUGUUGUUGUGUGUUCUUCCCAAACAACUCAGUUUUGCUUUCAUCUGUCCACAGUAUAUUUUGCCAUAGUGCUGUGGAACAUCCAGGUGCUCUUUUGCAAACUUCAAACGUGCUGCAAUAUUUUUUUGGGACAGCAAUGGCCUCCUCCGUGGGGUCCUCCCAUGUCCUCCAUUCUUGUUUAGUGUUUUCCUUAUUGUAGAUGCGUCAACAAAAAUGUUAGCACGUGCCAGAGAUUUCUGUAGGUCUUUAGCUGACGCUGUAGGAUUCUUCUUUACCUCGUGAAGCAUUCUGCGCUGUGCUCUUGCAGUCAUUUUUACAGGACGGCCACGCCUAGGGAGAGUAGCAACGGUGCUAAACUUUCUCCAUUUGUAGACCGUCUGUCUUACCGUGGACACAUGAACAUCAAGGCUGUUGGAGAUAGUUUUGUAACCCUUUCCAGCUUUAUGCAAGUCAACAAUUCUUGAUCGUAGGUCUUCUGAGAGCUCUUUUCUACGAGGCAUGGUUCACAUCGGACAGUGCUUCUCGAAACCAGUAAACCCAAAACAGGUGUGUGUUUUUAAAGGGCAGGACAGCUGUCGGCAACACAUCCAAUAUCAUCACACUGAUUGGAGUCAAGGUUGGCUCACUCCUGGCUCCAAUUAGCUCUUGGAGAAGUCAUUAGGCCAGGGGCUCUCAUACUUUUUCCUCCCUGCACUGUGAAUGUUUACAUGUUAUGUUCCAUUAAACCAUGGCAACAUCUAAUGUUUGUGUAGUAUUAUUUUAAGCAGACUGUGUUUUUCUAUUGUUGUGACUUGGAUGAAGUUCAGAGCGCAUUUUAUGACCGAUUCAUGCAAAACUCCACGUAAUCCCAAGGGGUUCACGUACUUUUUCUUGCAACUGUAUUUGUUUCUCUGUCCCUUUAUUUCUUUUUUCUCCCUUUCUCUCUCUCUUCUCUCUCCCUCCCUCUCUUCCCCUUUCUCUUUUUUCUCCCUCCCUCUUUUUCUCUUUAUUUCUCAUUCUCUCUCCCUUUCUCUCUCUCUCUCUCUCUCUCUCUCCCUCUCCCACCCACCCCAUUUCAAUCUUGCAGCCUUCUGUCUUCCUUCAUUCCCCUUUUCCUCACCUGCUGCAUUGGACUUCGAUGAAUAAAAUUCUCAUUUUCCCCAA